AACGGGUGGGUGGGAAGAGAGACCCAUAUAGGUCAGUAUGUUGUUGUGUAGGUCGGUGCGUUGUUGUGUAGGUCGGUGCGUUGUUGUGUAGGUCGCUGUUGUGUAGGUCGGUGCGUUGUUGUAUGGUGUGGCACAAGGAGCUGUAUGCAGUAGGCAAUAAGCACACAGGUUGAUGUAUCAUUUACGUGUAAUAUUAUUUGUGUCCACAGGGGGGCAGAGUAGGCCCUCAGCCCAGGUCAUGACUGAUGACCCAGAGCCCUGGGGGUUUAGAGGGGGUCUCUCCGGGGAGUUCCAGAGAAUGCUGCCUUGCCAUGGUAACAGAGAUCUGUUCCGUCACCCUCCUAUGACAUCAGUGUAUUCUAUACGACCCUUCUGCCCAGAAGACAAGACUGAGAUACAGAAGAUCCACAUGGAGAUGCAGAGAGGAGAGGCCAG
Long non-coding RNA from Oncorhynchus masou masou (cherry salmon), 435 nucleotides. RefSeq lists it as uncharacterized. The transcript has 3 exons. The record is from RefSeq and is a predicted model, not a curated record. NCBI's taxonomy places the organism in Eukaryota, Metazoa, Chordata, Actinopteri, Salmoniformes, Salmonidae.